This 406-nucleotide ribosomal RNA is filed under the name uncultured bacterium. RNAcentral describes it as "partial 16S ribosomal RNA". It matches the Rfam family "Bacterial small subunit ribosomal RNA", at positions 29 to 526 of the family's 1533-position model. The record is from RNAcentral.
AUUGAACGCUGGCGGCAGGCCUAACACAUGCAAGUCGAGCGAGCGGCGGACGGGUGAGUAAUGUCUGGGAAACUGCCUGAUGGAGGGGGAUAACUACUGGAAACGGUAGCUAAUACCGCAUACCAUCAGAUGUGCCCAGAUGGGAUUAGCUAGUAGGGGGGGGAACGGCCCACCUAGGCGACGAUCCCUAGCUGGGCUGGGAGGAUGACCAGCCACAAUGGAAAUGAGACACGGUCCAGACUCCUACGGGAGGCAGCAGUGGGGAAUAUUGCGCAAUGGGCGGAAGCCUGAUGCAGCCAUGCCGCGUGUGGGAAGAAGGCCUUCGGGUUGUAAAGCACUUUCAGCGUGGAGGCGGUACCCGCAGAAGAAGGACCGGCUAACUCCGUGCCAGCAGCCGCGGUAAUUC